UUGUGUGGCCGGGCCGGAAACAUGGAAGUACGAGGCCUGCAAGAGGCGCUGAAAGUAGAGAUCCAAUGUCACCAGGUAACCAGCCGUCGUUGUUCUCCGGUGGUCGUAAAGAAGCAGCCGCAGAAACAAGAUGUCGCUUAAUAACGUCGAGCACGCGCCACUUGUGCUCUGAAUCUCUACGGCUUUGUUUGUUUGUUUGUUUGUUGUUGUUGUUCGCGGUGCAACAAGAAGCCCUCUUUUCUUCUCGGGCUAAUAAUGCGGUGGUGUGGCGGCGAUCCGGACGCGACCUGAAUAUUUAUGAGGAGCCAAAGAGUCGCCUCCACCUCCUCCUCCUCCUCCACCUCCUCCGCUUUGUUCCUCCCUUCCUCACACUAACAAAACUUGAGGGGACUUUUGUUUUAGCGUAAUAAGGCCGCAGUUACUGAACUAGUUGCCCAGAUGAAGCAGGACCCACAGGUAUUUAAAGUACAUGUAUUACACGGCUAGCUCCUCAAGCUAACGCCGAGGCGGCUGUGCGAGGGAAACUUUAUCGGCCUAAUGCUGCUCCGUGGCGGCUUAGCGUGCAUGUGGAUGCCGUGUGUUUAGGUGGAUGUCCGUGUGGCAGGUGGUGAUUGUCCCCUUGUGUUUUCCCGCAGGAUGGAGAGCUUAAGAGACAGCUACACGACCGGCGGAUAUCAGCCCUGAGCGACAAGCAAGUAAGUCUUCUGGCCUCAUAACAAACAUGGUGGAUGGGGACUCAAAAAGAGAAAAGAUGGGAAAGUGAACGCCGUUCACGCCCGCUGUGUGUGUGUGUGUGUGUCUGUGUGAGUCCGUCUGUGUGUGUGUGUUUGGACUUCCUGUCUCUCGGCAUCUCAAAGUUAUGUUAAAAAAACUGUUCGCGUCCAUUUUGAGUUCAUGUUUCUGGAGAGUAAAAAGGAGCUAAUAAAGGAGCUAGCUUUAGCCUUUAACUCUCCGGCUCGGACUUGUGGCGGGGAGCCGCUACGGCGGAAGUUUAAGACGUUAAGACCGUCUCCACCGGGCCGGAGGUGCUUUUAGGGCCUGUUAAAUGGCGGAUUAUUUGUUACUUUAUACUUUUAGUCCGGUGGUGUUUUUUCUCCUCGCGCAGGGGGGGGCGGUGGGGGGGUCACGUGACCGCAGAUGGUGCACUCGAUUCGCCUGCUUUCACUUUUCUUCCCGUUGCUGUCUUUUUAAUAGCUUUAAACUGGGCUUAACUUUUGAUGCCGCGGUGGCGGUGCCACACGGCGGCAGGUGCUGAUGGAGAAGCCGGGUAGCGGAGUUCAGCACCGCGGACAGCUCCCCCCCCUCUCCCGGUGGCUCGCUGCUGCUGCUGCCUCGCACCGCCCCGCCGGUCGGUCCCAGCCUUGAGAGCGGGGGACUGCCGGCUGGGUCCGCAGGCCCGUUAAAACAGCAACGCCGAUAGUUCGUAAAAUGUCUGCGUACUCUUAUUAAAACGGUCCGUCGUCGUUAGAAUGAAAGCCCGCCGCUCCGAAGCCCCGCUGCUCCCAAAACACGCACUCUGGAGUUGGAGUUCCGUGAGCGGCGGCACUGCGGCUUCCCAGACCCCGUUAACACAUCGCUAAAUGUGACCGUUUAGGUCUGAGCCGUGACGGGAAUCACAGCGCGUGUCUUUGUGUGACUCCACGAGAAACGCGCUUCACUUCGGCGGUUAUCUCACCUGUGUGGACUAAGUUAAGCAAACUAAAGUGGGCUAUGUUUUUUUUUAAAUUAAAGGGCACCUAACCGCCUCAUCCAGCGGCUUUAAUUAGUCCCGAUCGCCGUUAAACUUGGCACAUAGUGGGACUCCAGCACCGCCCAGUUCACCCAGCUUCUGCUGCUCCCUCUGAAGCGUGUGUGUGCUGUGACUUCUCCUUCUGUUUGGUAGUGGAAGCUUCCAUUUUGAGAGAGAAAAGGGGGUGUAUCCCCCCCCCCCCCUCACACCAGAGAGGGGAAAAGUCUGCAGAGUUUUGUGCAGGAGGAGGAGGAGGGGGGAUGGGCCCCAUUCAUGCCGAACAUUACCAUUUUGAUUGCUUUGAUGCUGUUUUUGGAUGUGGGGGGGUCGGCAGUGAAAAGAGAGACACAGAAAGCCCAGUCAGCACCGCUGCACACAGCCAGGUUUUUAAUCACCACGCUGAUUAAUUCUUCUCUUCUAGCUGCCAAACGUGACCUUUUAUUACUUUUUCCUUCUGCACGCACACAUGAACCCGAAUCCUCCUCGUCCGCAACGGAAUAAUAAACUGGAAUGUUUGGAUGUGGUUACUAGCGGCGUGGAGAGCGGGUGGAGGCCUGGAGGUCAUCUCAUGGUCACGGGCUUCAUGUGAGGUUCAGCUCUCACAUGGGUGCAUGUUGUGAAGGAGAACAAGUGGUUUCAUAACACCAGCCCACAGUUUAUCACCAGAGGAGGAGUAGAGGGAUGGAGAUUGGAGGAAUCAAUGGGGGGGGCUCAUGUUCAGUGUGGAGGUCUCUCCUUUAGCCUCCUCCUGAGAGAGAGAGAACUUCAUUUAGUAGAUGUUUCAUAGGAUUAGGUUACUGGAAAACUGUUUUUGAUUUAGUCUUUAGACGAAAAAUGCAUAUUAGUUUUAGUCAGAUUUAGUCAUUUUAAUCCUUCUUAGUUUUAGUCAACGGAAACUAGACUAAAAUGUAAUUAGUUUUAUUCUAGUUUUAGUCACAUUUAACAGCCAUAUUAAACUCUUCCCUUCUCAGGCCCAGAGACCCUGUGUUGUGUCUACAGCUGCAUAAUAGUCCAGCUUGCAGUACUUGGUUGUCCAUUAGAUGUCCCUCCUAGGACAGGUCUAUAGAUGUCCCUCCUAUAGGACAGGUCUAUAGAUGUCCCUCCUAUAGGACAGGUCUAUAGAUGUCCCUCCUAGGACAGGUCUAUAGAUGUCCCUCCUAUAGGACAGGUCUAUAGAUGUCCCUCCUAUAGGACAGGCCUAUAGAUGUCCCUCCUAUAGGACAGGCCUAUAGAUGUCCCUCCUAUAGGACAGGCCUAUAGAUGUCCCUCCUAUAGGACAGGUCUAUAGAUGUCCCUCCUAGGACAGGUCUAUAGCAGGUCGGCAAACGUUUUGACUCGCGGUCACAGUAGGUUUGUAAAAUGUGACGGAGGAAGAACAAAUGGUUGAAGUGUUUGUGUGAGCGAAUAUAAAUGACGUGUGAAACAUCAUCACAUGAAAGGAUUUGGAUUUUAACAAAUAGCAAAGCAUUUAUUUGCAAGGCAAUUUAACAAAUUGUCAAAGGUGUAACAACUUCAUGAGGACCAGGGACCUAAACGCAACACUUUGUUGUCUUUGUCUGUUUACUUGAGUGCUUUUGACACUUCAUGCUCCUUUAUUGUUUCCACUGUCCCAACUAAAGAGACCUUAACGUCCUACAAUCAAUGCAAUACAUUAUGUUCUUGGCUUCAGAACCUGCAAUAAGUUUAUUACGUUAGACGUGUUUGUGACGGAGCGUCUCAUCCAGCGAGGAAACGCUGCCUGCCGUCGCCAGAGAACAGAGCAGAAAGGUCCCACAGUCUUUAAACGCGUCUUCAUGUUUCUGUGAAGCAGCGCGGCUUCAGCCCGCUAACAGUCAGCUAACAGUCAGCUAACCAGAGACAGCUAACAGGCAGCUAACCCGAGACAGCUGAGCUAAACUAACGAAGCCACGUUCAAACUAUAAAAUAGUCGUCGCGGUCCGUAAUCGGUGCACCGCUGCACCGAUACGAGCGUUCUGGGUUGGUGGAUGACGUCAUCAUGACGCGUUAAUAACCGCCGUACUUUGUCUGUCGGUUGUCUGUCAGCUGCGUGCGAAUUUAGGGGGGAAAAGUAUUGUGACUUCGUCAACCACCAACAUGUUCGUCUCGUCUUAGUCAAGGAAAAAGGUCAUUAAGCAACAUUUUUCGUCGACGAAAUGAACGCUGGCGUGAUGGAGGCUGAAUUUGCUCGCCGCGCACUCACAGGUCUGAUUAAGAAGAACUACUUUUCUUUAAAAGAACAUUUGAUUCUUCCUGCACACGCAACAUCCUUCAAGGAGAGAAUCAAAACAUUCUACGGCAACUGGACCGGGUCCAAAAGGCUACAAUGGUACAAAUACAAAUACUUCCAAACGGUACUUGAGUUUACAUUUGAGCCAAAUUAAGUAUUUUUAACUGGAUGACGUAAUAUUAUGGAUUAUAUGAGCAUGACGGGAUCGAUGAACAUAGUAUGUAUUAUAAUACUUGUUACUCUUUUGUACUGGUAUUUAGUUUAAAUGCAGUAGUUGUACUAGUAGAUACAAGUAUAGUAGUAUUUGUAGAGAGUGCGGUUUGUGACCCCGAGACGACGAAUGUGAAACACUCUUCGGUCCAAGCAGCUGUCAUUACCACGGCAACCAGAGGUUCCAAACAAUCACCAUGGAGACGCUGUCAGAGAAAAGUCUCAUUCAAGUGGCAGGUCAACGGGAAGAAAGGGAUAUUGUCUGAGAUUAAAAUGCUCCGUUUACUUGAAUUACGUUUCGUAUGCUUUCCAAAUGAAAUGCUAUUUACUAGAAUACACGGUUAUUUUCUCUCAGAUUAAAGUAGCGAGUUUAAAGAAAACAAUCAUGGAUCAUUUGCAAUAAAAGAGCAAGAAUGAGGACAAAUUACAAAUUUAAGUUAAUUUACAAGAGAAAAGCUCAAAUAUUCUCUGAAAGUAAACUAUUUUAAAGGUAAAUUGAAAAGAUAUUUUCCAUAAAUUCAAAUCAACAUGUGUAGAUGCUUUUAUUAUGGCGGUCGAACAGGGUUGUUAGAACGUGUUGCUAGGAUACGAGGGUGAGGAAAUGUGAGGGAGUUCAUAGAGGGUGAGGCAGCGAGAGACGUCUCACAUUCACCUCCACAAGAUGCUCCACCAACACCAGAGCCUCCAGGUGGCCCCGUGAGCCCAAAACUACAGCGCUCACUUCAGCCACAGCAGUCAGAGUUCCCCUGACCAAUGGUCCUUGAACACAUCAUGCGUAAGUCAGAUUCUGUUAAAAACAUUACAGUCCAAACUUUGUGAAAGUGCAUCAUUUAUUCAUAUGAGAUCAACCGUCAUGUGACCAGAAGUCAGAGAAACUGACUGAACACAACAACUAACAACAACUAACAUGUUGGUGGUUCUUGUGCACCGACUACGGACCGCAACGACUAUUUUACGCUUCGGCGAGUUUGAACGUGGCUUCGUUAGUUUAGCUCAGCUGUCUCGGGUUAGCUGCUUGUUAGCAGGCUGAAGCCGCGCUGCUUCACAGAAACAUGAAGACACGUUUAAAGACCGUCAGACCUUUCUGCUCUGUUCUCUGGCGACGGCAGGCAGCGUUUCCUCGCUGGAUGAGACGCUCCGUCACAAACGCGUCUAACGUAAUAAAGUCAUUGCAGGUUUUGAAGCCUCACGAAUUUCAACUAUAGUUCCCGCCUGUUCAAGACUGUUAAACUGUCUCGUUCGUUCGUUACUAAGCAACAGACGCGUGUGAAAUAAUGUAUUGCAACGAUUGUAGGACGUUAAGGGGUCUCUUUUGUUGGGACGAGCAACUUCACAGUGGAAACCAUAAGGAGGGACAUCUAAUGGACAACCAAGUACUGCAAGCUAGACUAUUAGGCAGUUGUAGACACAACACAGGGGGUCCCUGGGCCUGAGAAGGGAAGAAAAGGAGUUUAAUGUGGCUGUUAUGGCGCGUUUCCACCGAGCGGUGCGGGUCGGGUCGGGUCCCUUUUAUUUGUGUCUCCACUCCCAAAAUUUGAGAAUGGUACCAACAAUCCGAACCGUACCACCUUUUGGGUUCCCUUCCGUUGGGGCACCUGGCACAGCUGUUUGGUACUAAGGGGCGGAGCUAGACUCACUGCAGAGCGUUGAUUGGUUGAAAGAGUGUCGUCAUUUGCGCUGUGUUUUUCCUUGCAGCCUUUGCUCAAACAAAGAUGGUCGUCUCCUUGUGACAAACAGCCACAUGUGGAGAAGCAGGAACAGGAUCGGCUGCACGUCCUCCGUUGUUGUUUGCGGUUAGCUUUCAGUUUCAAAAAAGUCAAACACUUUGAAUCCGUAGAUUACUGCCUUAAUGGUCUUAUUGCUGCUAUUUGAUGACGAAUGCAUACACACUAAGCCAAAUUAAGUAUAUCUAUUAUUUUUAACAAAGGUUAAAUGUUAUUUCACAAUUUUCAAACUAUGUCCCCAAUUUCUUAUGAAAUGACCUUGGUUUUCAGUCAUUGGGGGCUGAAUUCCUACCCUGGUCAUGGUAGUACAGUGUACACGGGGCUGUGUAUUUGUACCUGGUAUGGUACCUGCUGAGCCCUGCCUGGAUCUCCACGUCUCCCUUUUACUGAGUGGCCUUCUUCACGUUGUUGUUCAUGAAACUCUGUUUGCUGAGUAUCGUUGAGAAGAAUCCAUAUAACGAAGGAGAAAGCAGCCGUGGGUUUGGUCCUGUUGUUGUUGUUUGGUUCAACUGAGUGGUGACUAAACAGGAAGUCAGGGAGAAGAUGUCCUCCAGUGAUGCUGGACAGCUCCUCCCCAGAAUGCUGCGCUCUGAUUGGCCGACACCUCUGCUGAACGGCUACUCAAGGAGAAGCUAAAGUGUGCUGGCGUUCAGUGGAGGAGCCGCUGUGCGUCUCAGGCUGGAUUUGAAUUGUCCAAUUUGCUUAGCAAGCUUCCUACCUGACGCUAAGGAAAGGAGCUCCAAUACUUAAAUAGUGACGUAUCAUCGGUUCGUCCACAAUAAAUAAUGAUCAUGAUGUGGACACGCAGAUCAUGUGAGUAACCGUUAGCAUCACUCAUUUACAUUAAUAAAGCUUUUCUUUGGACCUGGUAACACAUGAAGGCAUCUGAGAUGCUUCUUUGUAGCCGCUGCAGACUGACGUCACCAACAUGCGUCUCCGUCCGUCACGACUACGCAGCUCAGUGGAAGAGGAGUCCAUUCCCUGAACACCGCGUUGUCUUUUCCUAACUCAACCGUCCCAACCACCUUCCCUUGACCCUGUGGCGUUUUCUACAGAGGUCAAGGAUUAGUGGUUACAAAUAGACGUGAGGAGGUCGCAUAUGAACCCAACCACACACUUCCUGUCCCUGUGUUGACCUCCUGAACAUCAGAACACUUCCCAGGUUUCUCUCUCAGGUCCUCCUCCUCUUUCCUGUUGCUCAUGAUGCCCCGCCCCUCUCAUUUGAUGCCCCGCCCCCCACGCAACAUCCGGGUCAAAAGUUUGGAUGUGGAAAAGAAAAAAGCUAUGAAAGUCGAACAGAUUUAAAACUGAAAAUAUAAAAUCUGCAACUGAACAAUAUAAUACAGCAAAUAAUUAAAAAAAAUGUUUCCAUGGCGAUGGAUUUAGUCUCUUGAGUGUUUGGUCACUGAGUUUUGUUCAGGCUGAGACGUACCGGUGACUCCUCAGAGCUGUGUGUGUGUGUGUGUGUGUGUGUAAGGCGCUAACAAUGGACUCAGCCAGCUCUACACACAGCAGCAGAAAGAGGUCAACAAAGAGUGCGAGCCCUCUCAGGGCCGCUCUGAUUGGUCUCCUGCUGUCCAACGCCAGCCUCUGAUUGGACGCUGACACUCAAACACGUGAAACGCUGCAGCAUUUUCUUCCUUUUUCCUCGUUGACCCGGCUUCACGUGGUCAGAACAGAACGCCGUGUCCCGUCGGAGCUUCAAGGCGCUUCAUUCAAAUGAGAGCGGUGUGUGGGAGGGGCCUCUGUUUCUGGCCCUCAUUUGCAUACUUCUUCUAGGCCAACAUCCCACAAUGCCCUGUUUUCUUUUUUUGAAUGCAUUAUUGAGGGUUCCUUAAAGAAGGAAGAGGCCUCAGACUUCAGAGAGCUCUUUGAAAAAGGUGUCAGUUGGUUUGUAGCUCCAUGUUUUUCAACCAGAGAAAACUUACAACACAAUAAUAAUAUUUCAGAGCAAUCAUUAACGUCAAACAAACCUUCUGCUCUCAUGAUUGCUACUCGUGCGAAUCUGGCGACAGUUUUUAUUGAGAAAGGGAUCGUGCUGCUUUUGGUUUAAAGGAGUAAAAAGUGUUGAUUCUGACUAGAGUCUUCGUGUUGUUUUAUGAGUAUAUUAUUAACAGAUUCCUUUCUAUGAUCCCUGGCAAUACAGAAUAUUCACAUCCAAUAAUUAUAUUGGGUCUUCAGGUGCUACCAGUUCGACUAGCAUCGCCCCGUGACCUCUGUGGAAGGUCGCGGGGGUCAUACAGGUCGUUACACCGCUGAUGGUAAAUGUCAGUGACCGUGGUGAGGGAGACAAAUAACAGACGAUGAAGGUUGAUGCUCGGAGGAAUGUUUGAUCCACUCACAUCUACAUGAAUACGUUAAAGGUCUGAAUGUGGAAAGAAUUUAAAGACGAUGAUGUUCCUCAAAGAGAAGUUAGUAACAUUUAAAGAUUCUAUUAGCAGGUCAAUCUAAAAGCAAAAACAAGAUGUUUAAUAGAAACGCCGCCAGACCGCCAACUUUCGUCUACUUCAAAGCGUCUUUGAAGGAGGCAAACUGACUUCUGAUCUCUUUUAAUACACCUUCAAGUUCUCCUAUUCCACUAAAUAUCUCCUCACAUGAUGAAGCUGAUAAACAAGGUGACGUCUUUAACUUUCAUCACAUACAACAGGGAACAGAUGUUUACACUCAACCGUGUGGUUGUUAGAAUAGUUGCAUCUAUGUCAGUCGUGUUCCUUUAUUUGAAAUCAAGCAGAUCACAUGAAGGAGGCUCCUCCUCUCCGGCGUCUCGUUAGAGAGACAAAGUACCAGGUGGUCAGACCGGGACGUCCACCUUCCCCCAAACAAUGGCUGCUUCCUGUUCCUCCUUUUAACAUGCGUGUGUAUAUUCACGUUUUGCGCCUCCGUCCUCCGGUUCCUCUCACAAGGGAAAGAAAAAAAACAGAACUCGCCCCAUGGUCUCCAUGGUAACCAACAGUGCCUCUCUUUGAAUAUUCCCACUCAGGUGCUUUAGUCCUUGAACCCAGCGCGACUGCUUCAUGCUCCGCCUUUCUGUGCGGGAGGUUUGUUUUUGAGUUUACUGGGUCCCUGAAGGGGCAUCGGGAGCGUGACGUGUGAUGGAGUUCAUGCUUCUGUUGCCAUCUGUUUCUUUAAGUUAUUGACUAAAAUCUGAAACCAUAUUUAAUGGAAGGAAUCUGCUUGAGAGAAUAAUGUUAGUGUGUCGAAGUGGUAUAAAAGUCUCCUUAGGGGGAGGAGCCAGUUCUCUGCUGAUAGUCACAUGGUCCUGGACCACUUUAAUGUUGACAAAUGAGAGGGGAGGCGACCAGCAGCUGAAGCUUCGGGGGGGGUCCUCGCAACAUGUUAAUGUCAGUGUGGAACACAAACAUUUUAACUGUUGUGAUGGCCCACGUGUCUGUGGUGCUGGUCCACGUGGUCCACGUGUCUGUGGUGAUGAUCCACGUGUCUGUUGUCCUGGUGUCUGUGGUGAUGGUCCCACGUGUCUGUGGUGCUGGUCCACGUGUCUGUUGUCCUGGUGUCUGUGGUGAUGGUCCCACGUGUCUGUGGUGCUGGUCCACGUGGUCCACGUGUCUGUGGUGCUGGUCCACGUGUCUGUUGUCCUGGUGUCUGUGGUGAUGGUCCCACGUGUCUGUGGUGCUGGUCCACGUGGUCCACGUGUCUGUGGUGCUGGUCCACGUGGUCCACGUGUCUGUGGUGCUGGUCCACGUGGUCCACGUGUCUGUGGUGACGGUCCACGUGUCUGUUGUCCUGGUGUCUGUGGUGAUGGUCCCACGUGUCUGUGGUGCUGGUCCAAGUGAAGCCUCGGACUCUGGCUCUCAAUCCUCCGUCAGAAGUGAUCACUGUGCUUAAUGAAAACUAAUGACGUUUGUUCUUCUUCGUUGGUGCUCCGUAGCAUUAAAUUCCUGGGCACAGUGUGUUCUGCCCCUCGGAGGAAUAAGAACAACAACAAACAAAAUAGAACAAUUCAUGACUGGUUUCCGUAGCAACGUGCCAAAUAUAACGAUCUGCUGGCAUGAGGGUGAACUCUCCUCAUCGACACAUGGCCAUUUUUAUUAUGGCUGGUUUCCACGGUGACCUUAGCCAAUGGGAACAAAGCAGAGCCAGCAGCUGGACGUUUAAUCUCACACAGAAACCGGUUGCAUAUAUUGGUCGUCCAUAAAGCUGUUCUUGGUUAGUAGUUAAGCCAACAUUUCCCAUGAUGCAGCUUGAUAGCGUCUCUUGGUUAGAGCCUUCCUGCUAGGUAAACUUCUCAAGAAUGGUAUUAGCUAAAUAAAGUACUUAAUGUAUUUUCACAAAAAUGAAUCAAUUGAACAGCUCGCUUACUAGUGACCUGUCAAUCAGCAUGUAGCCCUAAAACAUCCCCUCUUUAUGGUCUGUUUGACUCCAAAUAGACCAUAAUGUACUAAAUGAACAUCAUGUUGUGUUGAAGAAGACUUUAAACUAGAGACUGAGACCAUAAACUCAUGUUUACAAUGUUUACUGAGGGAAUAAAUCAAGAGAAGUAGAGUCAUUUCCUCAUAGACGUCUAUGGGAGCAGAGGAGUCGCCCCUGCUGGUCACUACAGAGAAGUAGAGUCAUUUCCUCAUAGACGUCUAUGGGAGCAGAGGAGUCGCCCCUGCUGGUCACUACAGAGAAGUAGAGUCAUUUCCUCAUAGACGUCUAUGGGAGCAGAGGAGUCGCCCCUGCUGGUCACUACAGAGAAGUAGUCAUUUCCUCAUAGACGUCUAUGGGAGCAGAGGAGUCGCCCCCUGCUGGUCACUACAGAGAAGUAGAGUCAUUUCCUCAUAGACGUCUAUGGGAGCAGAGGAGUCGCCCCCUGCUGGUCACUACAGAGAAGUAGAGUCAUUUCCUCAUAGACGUCUAUGGGAGCAGAGGAGUCGCCCCCUGCUGGUCACUACAGAGAAGUAGAGUCAUUUCCUCAUAGACGUCUAUGGGAGCAGAGGAGUCGCCCCCUGCUGGUCAGGAGAGAGAAGUAGAGUCAUUUCCUCAUAGACGUCUAUGGGAGCAGAGGAGUCGCCCCCUGCUGGUCACUACGGAGGAUGCAGCUUUAACUCGUGACUUCACUUUGGUCACUUUAGUGUUUUCCCUCACAAAUAUCUUACUGAGAAGAGGGUUGUUUUGACCUCAUUCAGGCUAAAUAAUCAAAGAUCGUAGUAUUGAUCACCCAAGGCCGAUGCUGCAGAUUUUAUUACUUAGCACACAUUUUACUGUGUGUACAAUAAGUAAUCAGUUAUCAUCCAUAAUACAUCAAUAAAGCCGUAAAUGGUGUCUUGGUAGCAGAAGUCAGAGCAGCUGUUGGUGGAGAACUCGCUCAGUUUGAAAACCCACUCUGCUGGAAACAAUGUCACUUUUCUCAUUAGACGAACCGCUGUGAGCGGAGCUUCUUUUACUUAACAUGUAGCAACAGAAUCCUCACGCUGAGAGGAGCAGCGAGAGAGCUACACCUUUUAACUGAACUCCACCAUGUCGGAGCAUGUUUGGGCCUCACGCCGCCAUCAACUGCUGGCAGACAGACGCCCCCUGGGGCUCCUCCCCCUCACACCUCCUCCUGAGCCAUGUGAUUGGCUUCUCCAACCCGGCGGCUCGAGUCCUAAACUCUUUCCCUCGGACACAAAUCACACAAGAUAUCCUGUGACCUAAAGAAGCUGUACAUUCAGUGUCCUCAGAGGAUAAACCUUGCUGUGUCGUCGUAUUGUAACUUCACUAUUUCUGUAUUUAUUGAUGGUUUCUGCGACUUUUUAAACGUGACAAAUAAACAAAUAAAUAAAUAAAUACGUCGCUGGAUGUGCUGAAGAACAAACAAUAAAUCCUGAGUCGUCUGGGCUCUUAUAAAUACGGGUUCCAAAGGGUUCUACCAGAACCAUUUGCUGGUAUGGAACAUCUUUCUGUUUUUAAAGAGUGCCAUUAAGAACCUCUGUGGAGUUCUAGAUGAAACCUGGAACGAAAAAGGGUCCUGGGUAGAGCUCCUUGGGUGGGUUCUAAAUUAACCCUAACCGCAUGGAUCGUUCAAGGGUUCUCCGUAGAACCCUUAGGACGGUUCUUGUAAGCACCCUUGGAAUGGGAAAAGAUGGUUUUGGAUGGGAACCAUUACGCUGUUGGUAGAACCCUCUUGAAAUGAUUCCAGUGAGUAUUGUUCCAAACAUCCGGAGGUUCUCCUCUGCUGGUGACUGGAGGGGGAGAACGUUCAGUCGUCCCACUAAUCUCUCCUAGAUUUCCCCCGUGAGUGGAAUGAAUCCUCCUCCGGUUAUCUGACUCUUUUCUGCAGUUAAACAGGAAGUUCUGAUAAAAGACAAGAACAGCAUUUCAAAAUAAGAUGGGAGUUUUAUUCUAUGAAACGUGUCUCAGUCCUUCCGAUGUUUCAGCUUCAAUCUGAACAGUUUCCUGUUUCUCCUUUUUCAGAAUCAGACGUUGUGUAAAGGACUCAAUGAACUUCAGAACGGACAGGUGAGGAAAUAUUUCAUAUUUAAUAUGUACUACAACAUUGUAGAAAGUACCACCAUGUUUUUCUGUAGCUGGGCCGUCUUUUACUUACUUACUUUAAAAUGUACUUCCUGCUUGAUAUCUGGUGUUGAAUGAUUCACCAGUGGAAUGAUCAUUCAGUAAUAACAGUAUACAAACUUCAUGUCUCAUCACAUUGACUUUGUGUCGAGUAACUUCCUUUUACAUUAUUACAUCACAUGUCAUUUAUGACGCUUUUAUCCAAAGCAACUUACAAUAAGUUCAUUCAACCAUAAGGACUCAGAAGUUAGUUAGUGUGUUAGUGGAGGUAGAGUCUGAAGAGGUGUGUCUUUAGUCUGAAGAUGUGAAGGCUCUCUGUGGUCCUGAUGUCUUCAGAGACCUCCUUCCACCAUUUACUUCCUCUCCAUUAACUUCCUCUCAAAUUCCAGCUCAUAAUAGAAAGACUGCAGGUUAGAAGGAAGCGUUGCUUUGAUUGAUCUCGUUAGUCUAAAGUCCUUUUAUGAGCUGCUUCCUGUCGCACUCAACCACAGCAAGUGAAUGUUGUAGCGUUACCGUGGCAACACGGCGGCUUGAGACUCCGUGUCAGUACUGACCACCAGAUAUAUCCAGGAAGAUCAGCUGAUCAGUCACGUGACUUCUAAUCAAAGUGCUUUUGAUCUGGGUGCGUGAAGGUCCAGCAUGUCGCAGACUACACCGAUUAAACGGACCCGUGGUUGCUUGUUACCGGUGUCUGGACGCAGCGCGUCAUUGAGUCUGAGAGGGACUAGUUUGUGCAAAAGUCAGGGUCACUUUGUGACGACUCACCUGAGAGCAUGAAUCCGUCUGCUGUCCUUGGUAGAGACAGGAAGUGAUGUCACAACGUCCUCUGUCGCUGGGGCCAUGGCUGUGUCUCCGUCGCUAGGCUGCAUCCUUGAGGACGCAUUGGUCGAGCGCAUACGUCACUUCCGCUGCGACUCGUCUGUCCCAGGGGCGCAGUCCUCCAGGAGCCGGUUUGGAGGACACAUCUGAGCUGUCCUUUGCGUCCCAGCAUAUCCCAGCAUGCAGUGCGGGCCGACCAAGCGGAAGAGUUACUUUUAAAUGUAACGUUAAGUAAAAGAAUUCACUUGAAUAUCUACAGAUAGAAAUGUUAUAAUAUAGAACAUCACAUCUUCGUUAAUGAAGUCACGUGACGUUAACUCCGUUAUCCCCCCGUACAGCCCCUGAGCCACCCGGACCCCCCCAGGUCCAUGUACUGUUCCUCUGAACAUCAAUGUGCUACACACAUUUAUAACAAACGCACAACGAGCAGCUCACGUUACCGGCAGCUCGUCUGUACUUAUUAAAGUUAUGAACCUGAAAUAUCACUUUAAGUCAGUGACGUUACAGAAUAAAUACACAAAGAAACUGAACUUUGCUCCUUUUGUCGCGUGAUUAUGAACUAACUUUACAUUUAGUUGUGUUCUUCUCUCAGCCUGAAAUGUACUCUGCUCCGGAGGAGAAGCUUUUCUUCCUAAAUUAAAUGAAAUAAGAUUAUUUUUUUCUGUUACUUUGUCAUUUGUUUGGCUUUUAAGGCUUUUACUGUCCAGCGCAGCAGGUUGCUAGGCAACAGGAGCAGUGGAGGUAAACCUGAUGAGGCAAGCAGGAAGUCCCCCCGUAGGACAGACCGUCCCAUUCGAGAGGCCGCUUAGUUCAGCCUGUGUGGUAGUUGGAGGACCAGCCCAAGUAGACCAGAAGGCUGCUGAAGGCUGCAGGCUACAAGGAUGCUCAUGUUACCUGUCGCUUGGAGGCUCCUCCCACCUGGUUCCCCGCUGAGCCUUCAGCUGCUUUGCCUGCUUCUGUGUCACGUGACAUCACAUGGCCCCUCCCCCCCACAGAGGAGAGUUUGGGAUGUCUCCUCCCGGUCUCGGGGCAGAGAGAUGGGGGAGGGUAGUGAGGACAAAGGCCCUCCCUUUGUCCCCUCUGAUCCCCCUGGGCCCCCGCAGGAAGUUCUCCAAUGUCUUAAUCUCCUGCAGCAGAAAGAAUCAGCCAGUUAAAGAGUCAACGUGUUCUUAUUUGAUUUAUUCUGGAAACUAAACUUUAACUGCUUGUUUUUACACACUUUAUUACGUUAAGUGUAAUUUCAUAUUAACAAAGUUACUUGGUGACUUUAAGUGAAUUCUGGGGGCUUUGAAGAAACACAUUAAGAGGAAUGUGAGGGGAACGGGUGUAUUUAGCAUAGAGCAGUAUUUGUAUUGACCAAGGAAUGCGGGGGGGAUGGGUGAGUAGAUGGAGGGAUGAGUAGAUGGAGGGAUGGAUGGGUGAGUAGAUGGAGGGAUGGAUGGGUGAGUAGAUGGAGGGAUGAGUAGAUGGAGGGAUGGAUGGGUGAGUAGAUGGAGGGAUGGAUGGGUGAGUAGAUGGAGGGAUGACUGCAGGUGUUCCUGGUAACAGAACCUCUAUUGGAACAGACGCUGUGUUUCCAGGUGGUCGCUGCCUGAUCCUCCACAUCUGAGGGGGGGUCUUGGUCCCUGAUGCCCAUUGCCAGACUGUGGGCGGGGGGCCAGACUGUAGUGUGGCCCUGGUGAUGAGCUGUCCCACUGCUGGGAGGCAUUUACUGAGAUGCUGGAGCAGUUUGUGGUUCCACAAUGUUUCUGCUUCCUGUUUGUGUUGCAGAUCUAAUUUAAAUAUCGCUGACUAACAGACCUGUGGACAUUAAAGAGUUUCUUCUCUUCUUUUGUUGCUAUGAUUCAAAGACCAGUUCUAGAUAUUAUUAUUAUACGUCACGGUGGAUGCAGGAGAGCUAGUAAAAGCACCUGUUUAGGAUUCUGUCUGACUCCUCACUGUUGUGCAGCGUCACGGGUCUCUGCGAUGCUCUUAACUCAACCGCCGCUCUGCUCC
This is a long non-coding RNA of Gasterosteus aculeatus aculeatus (three-spined stickleback), 15196 nucleotides long. The record is from Ensembl. NCBI's taxonomy places the organism in Eukaryota, Metazoa, Chordata, Actinopteri, Perciformes, Gasterosteidae.